Molecule: non-coding RNA, 30 nt
Filed under: Rattus norvegicus (Norway rat)
Lineage: Eukaryota; Metazoa; Chordata; Mammalia; Rodentia; Muridae
Source: RNAcentral
UNGGAAUAGAGGCUUGAGGAGGUUUGUAGC